GUGCUCUGAUGCUUAUUGCACCACAUGUGUUUUUCUUUGAAACAAACUUGCUUUGGCGGUGGGCCCAGCCUGCCGCCAGAGGUCUAAACUUACAACCAAUUUUUUAUCAACUUGUCACACCAGAUUAUUACUAAUAGUCAAAACUUUCAACAACGGAUCUCUUGGUUCUCGCAUCGAUGAAGAACGCAGCGAAAUGCGAUACGUAAUAUGAAUUGCAGAUAUUCGUGAAUCAUCGAAUCUUUGAACGCACAUUGCGCCCUCUGGUAUUCCGGAGGGCAUGCCUGUUUGAGCGUCGUUUCUCCCUCAAACCGCUGGGUUUGGUGUUGAGCAAUACGACUUGGGUUUGCUUGAAAGACGGUAGUGGUAAGGCGGGAUCGCUUUGACAAUGGCUUAGGUCUAACCAAAAACAUUGCUUGCGGCGGUAACGUCUACCACGUAUAUCUUCAAACUUUGACCUCAAAUCAGGUAGGACUACCCGCUGAACUUAAGCAUAUCAAAAGCCGGAGGAA
RNAcentral lists this ribosomal RNA (509 nucleotides) under Candida albicans. RNAcentral's name for it is "eukaryotic LSU rRNA". The stretch from base 142 to 295 matches the Rfam family "5.8S ribosomal RNA". The record is from RNAcentral. Lineage: Eukaryota; Fungi; Ascomycota; Pichiomycetes; Serinales; Debaryomycetaceae.